Homo sapiens (human) is the source of this 102-nucleotide unclassified non-coding RNA. It matches the Rfam family "Y RNA". From Rfam's summary of the family: Y RNAs are components of the Ro ribonucleoprotein particle (Ro RNP), in association with Ro60 and La proteins. The Y RNAs and Ro60 and La proteins are well conserved, but the function of the Ro RNP is not known. NCBI's taxonomy places the organism in Eukaryota, Metazoa, Chordata, Mammalia, Primates, Hominidae. The record is from Ensembl.
AGCUUGUCUGAGUGCAGUGGUGUUUACAACUGGUUGGUCACAACUGGUUACAGAUUUCUUUGUUCUUUCUCUACUCUCACUACUUUACUUGACUAACCAAAA